Molecule: microRNA precursor, 90 nt
Organism: Petromyzon marinus (sea lamprey)
Lineage: Eukaryota; Metazoa; Chordata; Hyperoartia; Petromyzontiformes; Petromyzontidae
Gene: pma-mir-203b
Product: pma-mir-203b
Source: Ensembl
CAUGGUUACCGAGUGCAGUGGUUCUAACCAGUUCAACAGUUCUCUACUGAAAUUGUGAAAUGUUUAGGACCACUUGACUCGGUAGCUCCA